CCCCUAGACGUUCUGGGCUGCACGCGCGCUACAAUAAUACGCACAGCGAGUAUCACCGAGCUCGAAAGGGCAAGGUAAACAAUAGAAAAGGUACUGUAAUGGUUAUAGAUCCUUGUAAUUAUUGAUCUUCAACGAGGAAUUCCUAGUAAGUAUGUGUCAUCAUCACGCACUGAUUACGUCCCUGCCCUUUGUACACACCGCCCGUCGCUCCUACCGAUUGGGUGAGCCGAUGAAACUCUCGGAUGUAGGCUAUGCAUAGCCCGCAGAAGAGAUUUGAAUCGUAGCGCUUAGAGGAAGGAGAAGUCGUAACA
RNAcentral lists this ribosomal RNA (311 nucleotides) under uncultured eukaryote. Its description in RNAcentral is "partial 18S ribosomal RNA". It matches the Rfam family "Eukaryotic small subunit ribosomal RNA", at positions 1470 to 1796 of the family's 1831-position model. The record is from RNAcentral.